This 468-nucleotide ribosomal RNA is filed under the name uncultured bacterium. RNAcentral describes it as "partial 16S ribosomal RNA". It matches the Rfam family "Bacterial small subunit ribosomal RNA", at positions 28 to 507 of the family's 1533-position model. The record is from RNAcentral.
GACGAACGCUGGCGGCGUGCUUAACACAUGCAAGUCGAACGGAAAGGCCCUGCUUUUGUGGGGUGCUCGAGUGGCGAACGGGUGCGUAACACUUGAGUAAACUGCACUUGACUUUGGGAUAACUUCAGGACACUGGGGCUAAUACCGGAUAGGAGCUCCUGCUGCAUGGUUGAGGUGGGAAAGAUUCGGCGGUUGGGGAUGGACUUGUGGCGGAGCAGCUGGUUGGCGGGGUAGUGGCUUACCAGGGCUUCAAGGGGUAGCUGGCCUGAGAGGGUGACCGGCACCAUUGGGACUGAGCUACGGCCGGGAGCCCUACGGGAGGCUGCAGUGGGGAAGAUUGCACGAUGGGCGGAAGCCGGAUGCAGCAACGCGGCGUGCUGGAUGAUGGCCUGCGGGUUGGAAACCGCUUUCGCCUGUGACGAACCGUGAGUGACGGUAAUGGGUAAAGAAGCACCGGCUAACUACGUG